AAUAUAGCCUCCGUCGGCGAUGGUAGACGAAAUCCGAAGGCCUCCAACUCGAAUGCUCUGACCCAGACAUCCAAGGUGAGCCUCCAGUUCCUGCAAGGUACCUAAAGGUCAGGACAUACGCACAACACUUCAGUGGUGCAGUCUGGACAACAAGAAUAACCAGAAUUGUGUCACGCCACAUUCAGAUGAUGGUUCAGAUGCAGAUAAUGGCUGGUAAAGUGGACCACUUCUAUGUGAUCAAUAUGGAAACAAUAUGGUGCUUAUAAACAUUAUUAGCAAUUUUUUCAGGUAUAAGCAUUCGGCUGAACUUACCCUGAUGUGACUAUUUAAAACAUGCAGGCUCACCUGUUUAUGUCCUUAGCAUUGAAGGGUGGAGGCACGAAUACUUUGGAUCACAAGAGACAGCAUUGGAAUUAUGGAAUUUGAAUGGAUUGAGUACAUCAAGAUGAAGAAAUUAACGUAAUAAGCGAUAUUCUCAAAAGAUUCGGUCAUGCCAGAAACCUCAGUGUGCAUGGCACUAAAAAAGGGUACAAAGAACCUGAGAUGCAAGUAAUGGCUGAAUAGCCGGGGAAACACUAAAUAAAGACGUUAAUUCGCAUCAUCCUGUUGUGUAGGGGCCUCGCCGAUGAUCAAAGUCAGCUGCCAAGGUGGAUCAUUGGAGACCAGAAGUUGCAGUGUCAUCGGUGUUGUAUAGUAGCUUGGUUGACGACGGCCAAUGGAUUGUACAUAUUGGUUCAUUUUGUGUAUACAAUACAAGGUGCUCAUUGUAAAAAAAAUAUUCAUCCAUUUUUUGUGGGCAACAAAAAAUGAAUAUUUUUUGUUGGCCUAUGUUUUUUCAGAUAGAGGAGGCCUUUGUUAAUGGAUAUAGGAUUGGGCAACAUACACAUGGGUUCAGCCGGUAAAUCAAGGUUGAGAAGGUUGUAGCAUGUGCUGCUGCUUGCUUGUUGUGUGCGGGAUGUAUUGUUC
This 966-nucleotide long non-coding RNA is filed under the name Hordeum vulgare. Its description in RNAcentral is "long non-coding RNA (HVUL_LNC008366)". The record is from RNAcentral. Lineage: Eukaryota; Viridiplantae; Streptophyta; Magnoliopsida; Poales; Poaceae.